Molecule: ribosomal RNA, 759 nt
Filed under: Triticum aestivum (bread wheat)
Lineage: Eukaryota; Viridiplantae; Streptophyta; Magnoliopsida; Poales; Poaceae
Description: partial small subunit ribosomal RNA
Source: RNAcentral
AUGUCGCUCACCCCGUACGCCGGCGGAUCGGGCAGCUCACUGCCGCAGCCGGUGCCGAUGCUCACCGGUGAGAACUACACCGCGUGGGCAAUCAAAGUCGAGGCCAAUCUCGACGCGGCUGGGCUGUGGGAGGCGGUGGUGGUGCCGGAGGACGCAGCGGCGGCGGUGAUCGCCAAGAAGGACAAGCCGGCGCGGGCUUACCUGCUCGGGGCGCUCGCGGAGGAUCUGCUGCUCCAGGUGGCGUCCAAGAAGACGGCGGCGGAGGUGUGGAGCAGCCUCAAGGCGAGGUUCGUCGGGGCGGACCGAGUCCGGGCGGCGCGGCUGGGCACUCUCCGAGGGGAGUUUGAGAUGCUGCGCAUGGCGGAGGGCGACACGCUGGAUGGGUUCGCCUGCAAGCUCGGCGGCAUGGCGGCGCGCUACGUGGGACUCGGGUCGAUGCUGGACGACGCCGCGAUGGUGAAGAAGCUCCUCGAUUCUGUGCUGGAUCGCUUGUACGCGGCGGUGGCCGGAAUCGAGCAGUUUUGCGACGUCUCCACCAUGCCGUUCGAGGACGCGCUCGGUCGCCUGAAGGCCUUGGACGAGGGCUGCAACAACAGUUGCAACCUCUGCGGAGAGGGGAACUUAUGGGCACCAGGUUUGGGUUGGAUAUGCCUGAUUUGGAGAUCCUCCUCGGCACCAGGUUUUUUCAGCUACAUACCACUUUCAUGUCCUUCUCCUCCCAGGUCCCUGCCGUUGCAUACCUUAGCUCCCCUUCUUUAG